UAACACUUUCCACGGAUCUCUUGGUUCAGGCACAUGAAAACGCACAAAUGCGAUAAGUAAUGUGAAUUGAAAUUUGAUCAUCAAUCUUUGAACUCCCAUUGCUCCCCCAUAGGUAUUCCGGGGGACACUGUUCA
This 134-nucleotide ribosomal RNA is filed under the name Venturia inaequalis. Its description in RNAcentral is "5.8S ribosomal RNA". It matches the Rfam family "5.8S ribosomal RNA". Rfam says of the family: 5.8S ribosomal RNA (5.8S rRNA) is a component of the large subunit of the eukaryotic ribosome. It is transcribed by RNA polymerase I as part of the 45S precursor that also contains 18S and 28S rRNA. Functionally, it is thought that 5.8S rRNA may be involved in ribosome translocation. Lineage: Eukaryota; Fungi; Ascomycota; Dothideomycetes; Venturiales; Venturiaceae. The record is from RNAcentral.